AGCGGUAACGAGCAACUCCUCAUACCCCACAAGCGCAUAAGUGUCGCCCAUAGGUUUGAGCACCGCAGCUUUAAUGCUGUGGUGGCC
RNAcentral lists this small RNA (87 nucleotides) under Vibrio cholerae O1 biovar El Tor str. N16961. Lineage: Bacteria; Pseudomonadati; Pseudomonadota; Gammaproteobacteria; Vibrionales; Vibrionaceae. The record is from RNAcentral.